This 202-nucleotide non-coding RNA is filed under the name Faecalicatena contorta. The record is from RNAcentral. Lineage: Bacteria; Bacillati; Bacillota; Clostridia; Lachnospirales; Lachnospiraceae.
AGAACUGAUAUUCCGACAGGUGGAAUGGAGGGGUAACGCCCGGAAACGCCUGCUCUGAUACUCCGGUAUGCGUCUGGAAGUGCAGCCUUCCAGUGGUAUAACGCCCGGUAAAGUCGGCUGUAUGCACCCGCUGUAGCGAUUACGCACGUUACGGCAAACCAAGCCAGAGGUGGCUGUGGGUGAUAGGCCGGGAGUCUAUAAA